GACCUCGGAUCAGGUAGGAAUACCCGCUGAACUUAAGCAUAUCAAUAAGCGGAGGAAAAGAAACCAACAGGGAUUGCCCUAGUAACGGCGAGUGAAGCGGCAAUAGCUCAAAUUUGAAAUCUGGCCUUCGGGUCCGAGUUGUAAUUUGUAGAGGAUGCUUUUGGCGCGGUGCCUUCCGAGUUCCCUGGAACGGGACGCCUUAGAGGGUGAGAGCCCCGUACGGUUGGACACCAAGCCUCUGUAAAGCUCCUUCGACGAGUCGAGUAGUUUGGGAAUGCUGCUCUAAAUGGGAGGUAAAUUUCUUCUAAAGCUAAAUAUUGGCCAGAGACCGAUAGCGCACAAGUAGAGUGAUCGAAAGAUGAAAAGCACUUUGAAAAGAGGGUUAAAUAGUACGUGAAAUUGUUGAAAGGGAAGCGUUUGCGACCAGACCUUUUCCUGGCGGAUCAUCCGGUGUUCUCACCGGUGCACUUCGCCAGGUUUAGGCCAGCAUCGGUUUUCGCAGGGGGAUAAAAGCUCUGGGAACGUAGCUCCUCCGGGAGUGUUAUAGCCCUCUGCAUAAUACCCUUGCGGGGACCGAGGACC
RNAcentral lists this ribosomal RNA (582 nucleotides) under Xylaria feejeensis. RNAcentral's name for it is "eukaryotic LSU rRNA". It matches the Rfam family "Eukaryotic large subunit ribosomal RNA", at positions 1 to 594 of the family's 3401-position model. Lineage: Eukaryota; Fungi; Ascomycota; Sordariomycetes; Xylariales; Xylariaceae. The record is from RNAcentral.